AGGCAGGACUCAACUUCAGACCAGAUUGA
RNAcentral lists this non-coding RNA (29 nucleotides) under Homo sapiens (human). Lineage: Eukaryota; Metazoa; Chordata; Mammalia; Primates; Hominidae. The record is from RNAcentral.